This is a long non-coding RNA of Varanus komodoensis (Komodo dragon), 528 nucleotides long. RefSeq lists it as uncharacterized. The transcript has 2 exons. NCBI's taxonomy places the organism in Eukaryota, Metazoa, Chordata, Lepidosauria, Squamata, Varanidae. The record is from RefSeq and is a predicted model, not a curated record.
ACAGCAAGGCCCGAUGUCCUAGCCCUCUUGACACACCGGCGCAUCUGCGUGCGAUACACAUUAUGAUCUACUCACCCACCGUCCUACGCCAGCCUGGCCACAGCGUGGCAGGAUUUCCUGCACCACAGAGAAAUACCAGGAGAGCACAAACAAACCAUCAAACAAUACCUAAACCUUAGGAAAGGCAAGUGAGGUAAUUUGCUGCCACUUCAAGAUAAUUUGGGAAGGGGGAAUAUUGUGCUGAACAGCUGAAGAUGGAAUUUCUUUGCUGUAGAAGAAGCUUAUUAAUUCCAGAGUCUGGGAAAGUGCUAAUACGUGCUGCUCCUCUUUAAUUUCCAUUUCAUGAUUAACAACUGUUUACUACUUGAUGUUUAUAUAAACAAAGGCAUCUUGAUUAGAAAUAAUGUUUAUGUUUUAUAUUUAUUUUGGCAUAUUUAUAACAGUUAAAACAAACAUGAUGGAUGGAUUUACAUUGUUAGCAUAUCUGUCAUUCAAAAAUAUAAUAAAUAAAAUUCAACAUUCAGCAAA